UAGGGAAUAUUGGUCAAUGGACGGAAGUCUGAACCAGCCAUGCCGCGUGCAGGAAGACGGCCUUCUGGGUUGUAAACUGCUUUUAUCAGGGAAGAAAAAGAUCUUGCGAGAUCAAUUGCCGGUACCUGAAGAAUAAGCACCGGCUAACUCCGUGCCAGCAGCCGCGGUAAUACGGAGGGUGCGAGCGUUGUCCGGAUUUAUUGGGUUUAAAGGGUGCGUAGGCGGCUUGUUAAGUCAGUGGUGAAAGGUAUCAGCUUAACUGAUGACGCGCCAUUGAAACUGACGGGCUUGAGUACAGACGAGGUAGGCGGAAUUUAUGGUGUAGCGGUGAAAUGCAUAGAUACCAUAAAGAACACCGAUAGCGAAGGCAGCUUACUAGACUGAGACUGACGCUGAGGCACGAAAGCGUGGGGAGCGAACAGGAUUAGAUACCCCCGUAGUCC
This 443-nucleotide ribosomal RNA is filed under the name uncultured prokaryote. RNAcentral describes it as "bacterial SSU rRNA". It matches the Rfam family "Bacterial small subunit ribosomal RNA", at positions 355 to 796 of the family's 1533-position model. The record is from RNAcentral.